GAUGAACGCUGGCGGCGUGCCUAAUACAUGCAAGUCGAGCGAACAGACGAGGCGCUUGCUCCUCUGACGUUAGCGGCGCACGUGUGAGUAACACGUGGAUAACCUCCCUAUCAGACUGGUAUAACUUCGGGAAACCGGAGCUAAUCCCGUAUAAUAUAUUGAACCGCAUGGUUCAAUAGUGAAAGACGGUUUUUCUGUCACUUCUCGAUGGAUCCGCGCCGCAUUAGCUAGUUGGUAAGGUAACGGGUUACCAAGGCGACGAUGCGUAGCCGACGUGAGAGAGUGGUAGGCGACAUGGGAACGGAGACAGGGUCAAGAGGACUAAGAGAGGGAGCAGUAGGGAAUCGGACGCAAUGGGCGAGAGCAUGACGGAGCAACGGGGAGCGAGUGAUAAAGGUGUUGGGAGCGGAAAACUCGGUUAUGAGGGAAGAACAAAUGUGGAAGUAAAUGUGCAGGGCUUGACGGUACCGAAUCAGAAAGCAACGGCUAACUACGUG
RNAcentral lists this ribosomal RNA (497 nucleotides) under uncultured bacterium. RNAcentral's name for it is "partial 16S ribosomal RNA". It matches the Rfam family "Bacterial small subunit ribosomal RNA", at positions 28 to 507 of the family's 1533-position model. The record is from RNAcentral.